Molecule: non-coding RNA, 1281 nt
Organism: Paramisgurnus dabryanus
Lineage: Eukaryota; Metazoa; Chordata; Actinopteri; Cypriniformes; Cobitidae
Source: RefSeq, a predicted model, not a curated record
GGUGAAGCAACAGUGCUUCAGUGACGGAGUUUCAGUGUCAAGUUUUCAUGCCAUGACCACUGGGGCGGAAACCAUGACGUUGCCUUGGACUUCAAACUAAACCAUCUCAUUCUGGCUUUUUUCUAACCUCGAAAUCUCAGAAGGACAGGUCUAAUGGACGCAGCCUCCAUAGGAUGCAACCUUGCAUUUGAGAAACACCCCUAGAACGGUCAACUUACCCCAUACUCUAACCUGAAUGCAGGGAUCAUAAAACUUUAUCUUUUACCUUAAUUGUUAGAUGGGUGUUGAUACCAAACUUUUUUUUCUCGUCUACCCAGGAGAAAGUCAUGGGUUCUGCUGCUGAGGUUGUCAUAAAGCAUGCUUUUUUCCAUUUGUUGCAUUUGGCAAUAUUAUCAAAAGAUUCUGAAAGAAAUAAGAUAAUUUUCAAAGCAUUAACAUGAAUAUGAAAGUCAUUAAUGACCAUCUUUUAUUAUUGUUUAUUUACAGUGUCUUUUAUUCUGCUUACCUGACUCAUGCAGAAUUCUGGCUUGAUGUUUGGUCCACCUGUUAGCUGGCUCUGGUGCUUGGUAGUCUUCUCAAACCUCUGAAUCAAGACCACCAUGAGAGGCCUUCUGAAGACCAUCAUUACGCUGCAGAUCCAGUGGUCUUUACUAUGAGAUAGAACUGAACUGGAGUCUGUGAACUAAUGCUGUGUUCGAGACAACUUGGAUGUUUGAUAUUAUUGACCUCAAACCCAUAAGAAGUCUGGAACAGUAAACAAAGUUGAGUAUCCGACCUCUCAACUUGGGACAGAUCCAUCAACACCGACCUCAACGAGAUGCGUCAUUUGACAUUGCAGACAAGAUCCUUUCUCUUUUUUUAUGCAGCUCUUAAGGAUGAAGCACCCUGAUCUACUAAGAUGCACAGAUUCAACUCUGGCCCAGCAUCAUCCCCACACCUCAUCUGCCAUCAGUUUAAUUUAAUGUCUGUCAAUUGCAAAUGCUAUUUCAGUUAUAUUACAACUUAAUAUUAACUUUAAUUUAGACUAGUAUUGUGUAAAGCUGGGGUUUCCAAACUUUUCAUUUUAAAACCUAUAAGACAAGUAUAAUCUAUUCUAGACCCACUAAAAUAUUUUUAAAUAUACAUUUUUUUUAUGGGGUAAAACACAUUUGUUCUCUUUCAGUGGAGUCAUUUUAUUUUCAUAAUAUUUCAUAAUGUGAAGAAGUGGUUCUUAACGUUAUUCCUCGAGGCCCACUGCUCUGCACAUUUUGUAUGUCUCUUUUAUCUGACAGACUAAGUUCA